Non-coding RNA from Benincasa hispida (wax gourd), 1006 nucleotides. Lineage: Eukaryota; Viridiplantae; Streptophyta; Magnoliopsida; Cucurbitales; Cucurbitaceae. The record is from RefSeq and is a predicted model, not a curated record.
UUAUAGCUAUAGUUAUUUGGUUUUAUGUUUGAUUGAGAAAUAUACAUAAUUUAUAACUAAUAUUAUCUAUUUUAUUUAUCAAAGUCUAUCUUCUUAGAAAGAAAGAAAUGGAAGGUGCCUACAACAUCAUCUAUGGUUGCCCAAAGACAAUUUUAAGUUAGCUGAAAGUCUCAGAAUUGCAUUGUUCCCAAUUGAUGAAGUACACCAUGUUUCUACAUUAUAGAGUUGGUGUAGUAGGUUCAAAUAUUUGGGAUUUGGUGAAACACUUGGAAUCUUCUAAGUUUGAAACUUCCAAUCCGUAAGAUAAUCUAGUUGCUAAAAAUACCGGUCGUAAGCGAGAACAUGCCCAAUCUAUCAUAGUCAACUCGUUUGCUUCUAUCGUCAAGCACUACUCAAAGGGACAGGGUUAGAAGAUUGAUUUUGGAAGUCGGCUACAACAACUACUACUUUAGAGCAUAUUCGGAUUGAAUUUCUAAGUACUUAAGAAUACUUUAUUUAUACUUUAAAACACUUAUUUAAGUACUUAGAAAGUCAAUCCACAUAACGCUUUAAUUUAUGAGUGGAAAUGUGCUAAUUCAUUACUUAUAUCCUAUAAAACUUCUAGUUCACCUCAUGUUUCUCAUUUUUCUCUUUCAUAUUAGUUCUCAACGUUAAAGUAAAGUCUACAUCCUAAACUCCCAUCUUCGACCUUCACAUCUCAUUUAAAUGUUAGAUUUUUGCGAGACUUGCAUUCGGUCAAGGAGGAAUGCUAAGCUUCAAUGGAGUUACACAUAUCACUCAACAUAUUUGUCAAGCAGGGAUAAGAGACUUCUCAAAUUUUUUGAUGUAAAUUAAAUACUAAUGGAUGCAUCAUUUUAAAAAGGUGGAGACUAAAGGAUCCUUAAGUGUCUUAAACUAGAAAGUUGAGAUUGCAUUGGUUUUUUCUUUUAAUGUAAUUUGUACAACAUGUUGACCCCAUAAAAAAUAUGGUUAUUUUUAUGGAAUGUUAUAUUGAUUGAAACAUCCC